RNAcentral lists this ribosomal RNA (225 nucleotides) under uncultured bacterium. RNAcentral describes it as "partial 16S ribosomal RNA". It matches the Rfam family "Bacterial small subunit ribosomal RNA", at positions 524 to 746 of the family's 1533-position model. The record is from RNAcentral.
UACGUAGGGUGCAAGCGUUGUCCGGAAUUAUUGGGCGUAAAGAGCUCGUAGGCGGUCUGUCGCGUCUGCUGUGAAAACUCAGGGCUUAACCCUGAGCUUGCAGUGGGUACGGGCAGACUAGAGUGCGGUAGGGGAGACUGGAAUUCCUGGUGUAGCGGUGAAAUGCGCAGAUAUCAGGAGGAACACCGGUGGGCGAAGGCGGGGUCUCUGGGCCGUAACUGACGC